This 466-nucleotide ribosomal RNA is filed under the name uncultured bacterium. RNAcentral's name for it is "bacterial SSU rRNA". It matches the Rfam family "Bacterial small subunit ribosomal RNA", at positions 329 to 792 of the family's 1533-position model. The record is from RNAcentral.
UGCCAGACUCCUACGGGAGGCAGCAGUGAGGAAUAUUGGUCAAUGGGCGCGAGCCUGAACCAGCCAAGUCGCGUGAGGGAAGACGGUCCUAUGGAUUGUAAACCUCUUUUGUCGGGGAGCAAAAGACGCCACGUGUGGCGUUCCGAGAGUACCCGAAGAAAAAGCAUCGGCUAACUCCGUGCCAGCAGCCGCGGUAAUACGUAGGUGGCAAGCGUUGUCCGGAUUUACUGGGUGUAAAGGGCGUGUAGCCGGGUUGACAAGUCAGAUGUGAAAUCCUGCGGCUUAACCGCAGAACUGCAUUUGAAACUGUUGAUCUUGAGUACUGGAGAGGCAGACGGAAUUCUUAGUGUAGCGGUGAAAUGCGUAGAUAUUAGGAGGAACACCAGUGGCGAAGGCGGUCUGCUGGACAGCAACUGACGGUGAGGCGCGAAAGCGUGGGGAGCAAACAGGAUUAGAUACCCGUGUA